RNAcentral lists this long non-coding RNA (576 nucleotides) under Olea europaea subsp. europaea. The record is from RNAcentral. Lineage: Eukaryota; Viridiplantae; Streptophyta; Magnoliopsida; Lamiales; Oleaceae.
GUCAAAAGGGUUAUUUCAAAGGGAUGCUAUCUUAUGACUUAGGUAUUCACAAAUUUUAUGGACCAAAAUCCACCAAAUGUGGGUCCCGUAGCUUAUAGGUUGGAUAAGUGGAAAAUUCACAACUUAUCUGGCUUAGGGAUUUUGGUUUUUGUAGGUUCUGGAGUAUGUUUUGCCUUGACCAUUCUGCGUUAUAUGGUGAUCCCACUCAUGAUGGUUUCACUAUUUGUGAAGUGGGACGAGGGGUUGUGGAGGUGAAAUAAUUUGGUGUUCCAGACGCAGUUAAAUCAAUGUCAUGGUGUGCUGAGAAUAUAUGUGUGGGAAUCAGAACAGCGUAUACGAUCUUGAAUGCUACAAAUGAUGCCUUGUCUGAGGUGUUUUCUUCAGGGAGGAUUGCCCCCAACUUUGGUGAUAUCUCUUCCAUAUGGAGAACUUCUUUUGGGCAAGGUAAUAUAUUUCUUAUGGGUAGCUAAUAUACAUGAAACCAAGACUAGACUAUAACUCAAUCAAAGGUUGAAUCAGUUGUUUGUUUUAUGCUUUUGAUGCAUUCGGAGUAUAUCACUUUGAUGUCGUUAUGGG